Molecule: ribosomal RNA, 433 nt
Filed under: uncultured bacterium
Lineage: Bacteria
Description: partial 16S ribosomal RNA
Rfam family: Bacterial small subunit ribosomal RNA
Source: RNAcentral
AACGAACGCUGGCGGCAUGCCUAACACAUGCAAGUCGAACGAGACCCUCGGGUCUAGUGGCGCACGGGUGCGUAACGCGUGGGAACCUGCCCUUAGGUUCGGAAUAACUCCCCGAAAGGGGUGCUAAUACCGGAUAAUGUCUUCGGACCAAAGAUUUAUCGCCUUUGGAUGGGCCCGCGUUGGAUUAGCUAGUUGGUAGGGUAAAAGCCUACCAAGGCGACGAUCUAUAGCUGGUCUGAGAGGAUGAUCAGCCACACUGGGACUGAGACACGGCCCAGACUCCUACGGGAGGCAGCAGUGGGGAAUAUUGGACAAUGGGCGAAAGCCUGAUCCAGCAAUGCCGCGUGAGUGAUGAAGGCCUUAGGGUUGUAAAGCUCUUUUACCCGGGAUGAUAAUGACAGUACCGGGAGAAUAAGCUCCGGCUAACUCCGUG